Molecule: ribosomal RNA, 1541 nt
Filed under: Shigella flexneri 3a
Lineage: Bacteria; Pseudomonadati; Pseudomonadota; Gammaproteobacteria; Enterobacterales; Enterobacteriaceae
Description: bacterial SSU rRNA
Rfam family: Bacterial small subunit ribosomal RNA
Source: RNAcentral
AAAUUGAAGAGUUUGAUCAUGGCUCAGAUUGAACGCUGGCGGCAGGCCUAACACAUGCAAGUCGAACGGUAACAGGAAGCAGCUUGCUGCUUCGCUGACGAGUGGCGGACGGGUGAGUAAUGUCUGGGAAACUGCCUGAUGGAGGGGGAUAACUACUGGAAACGGUAGCUAAUACCGCAUAACGUCGCAAGACCAAAGAGGGGGACCUUCGGGCCUCUUGCCAUCGGAUGUGCCCAGAUGGGAUUAGCUUGUUGGUGGGGUAACGGCUCACCAAGGCGACGAUCCCUAGCUGGUCUGAGAGGAUGACCAGCCACACUGGAACUGAGACACGGUCCAGACUCCUACGGGAGGCAGCAGUGGGGAAUAUUGCACAAUGGGCGCAAGCCUGAUGCAGCCAUGCCGCGUGUAUGAAGAAGGCCUUCGGGUUGUAAAGUACUUUCAGCGGGGAGGAAGGGAGUAAAGUUAAUACCUUUGCUCAUUGACGUUACCCGCAGAAGAAGCACCGGCUAACUCCGUGCCAGCAGCCGCGGUAAUACGGAGGGUGCAAGCGUUAAUCGGAAUUACUGGGCGUAAAGCGCACGCAGGCGGUUUGUUAAGUCAGAUGUGAAAUCCCCGGGCUCAACCUGGGAACUGCAUCUGAUACUGGCAAGCUUGAGUCUCGUAGAGGGGGGUAGAAUUCCAGGUGUAGCGGUGAAAUGCGUAGAGAUCUGGAGGAAUACCGGUGGCGAAGGCGGCCCCCUGGACGAAGACUGACGCUCAGGUGCGAAAGCGUGGGGAGCAAACAGGAUUAGAUACCCUGGUAGUCCACGCCGUAAACGAUGUCGACUUGGAGGUUGUGCCCUUGAGGCGUGGCUUCCGGAGCUAACGCGUUAAGUCGACCGCCUGGGGAGUACGGCCGCAAGGUUAAAACUCAAAUGAAUUGACGGGGCCCGCACAAGCGGUGGAGCAUGUGGUUUAAUUCGAUGCAACGCGAAGAACCUUACCUGGUCUUGACAUCCACGGAAGUUUUCAGAGAUGAGAAUGUGCCUUCGGGAACCGUGAGACAGGUGCUGCAUGGCUGUCGUCAGCUCGUGUUGUGAAAUGUUGGGUUAAGUCCCGCAACGAGCGCAACCCUUAUCCUUUGUUGCCAGCGGUCCGGCCGGGAACUCAAAGGAGACUGCCAGUGAUAAACUGGAGGAAGGUGGGGAUGACGUCAAGUCAUCAUGGCCCUUACGACCAGGGCUACACACGUGCUACAAUGGCGCAUACAAAGAGAAGCGACCUCGCGAGAGCAAGCGGACCUCAUAAAGUGCGUCGUAGUCCGGAUUGGAGUCUGCAACUCGACUCCAUGAAGUCGGAAUCGCUAGUAAUCGUGGAUCAGAAUGCCACGGUGAAUACGUUCCCGGGCCUUGUACACACCGCCCGUCACACCAUGGGAGUGGGUUGCAAAAGAAGUAGGUAGCUUAACCUUCGGGAGGGCGCUUACCACUUUGUGAUUCAUGACUGGGGUGAAGUCGUAACAAGGUAACCGUAGGGGAACCUGCGGUUGGAUCACCUCCUUA